Molecule: ribosomal RNA, 400 nt
Filed under: uncultured bacterium
Lineage: Bacteria
Description: bacterial SSU rRNA
Rfam family: Bacterial small subunit ribosomal RNA
Source: RNAcentral
GAAUCUUGCACAAUGGGGGAAACUCUGAUGCAGCGACGCCGCGUGAGCGAUGAAGCCCUUCGGGGUGUAAAGCUCUUUCGGCAGGAGCGAUAAUGUCGGUACCUGUAGAAGAAGCUGAGGCUAACUACGUGCCAGCAGCCGCGGUAAUACGUAGGCAGCAAGCGUUGUUCGGAGGUACUUGGCGUAAAGAGUGCGUAGGUGGUGCUCUAAGUUUGGUGUGAAAUCUCCCGGCUCAACUGGGAGGGUGCGCCGAAAACUGGGGUGCUGGAGUGUGGGAGAGGAAAGCGGAAUUCCUGGUGUAGCGGUGAAAUGCGUAGAUAUCAGGAGGAACACCUGCGGUGUAGACGGCUUUCUGGACCACUACUGACACUGAGGCACGAAAGCGUGGGGAGCAAACAGG